UGGGGAAUAUUGGACAAUGGGGGCAACCCUGAUCCAGCAAUGCCGCGUGUGUGAAGAAGGUCUUCGGAUUGUAAAGCACUUUCGACGGGGACGAUGAUGACGGUACCCGUAGAAGAAGCCCCGGCUAACUUCGUGCCAGCAGCCGCGGUAAUACGAAGGGGGCUAGCGUUGCUCGGAAUGACUGGGCGUAAAGGGCGUGUAGGCGGUUUACACAGUCAGAUGUGAAAU
RNAcentral lists this ribosomal RNA (228 nucleotides) under uncultured bacterium. RNAcentral describes it as "partial 16S ribosomal RNA". It matches the Rfam family "Bacterial small subunit ribosomal RNA", at positions 355 to 600 of the family's 1533-position model. The record is from RNAcentral.